Molecule: ribosomal RNA, 838 nt
Filed under: Triticum aestivum (bread wheat)
Lineage: Eukaryota; Viridiplantae; Streptophyta; Magnoliopsida; Poales; Poaceae
Description: partial small subunit ribosomal RNA
Source: RNAcentral
CCUGAAGCUUAUCCGCGUACUUCUCUUCUUCCCAACCUCGCAUCUCUCCUCCCAAAUCCCAAUCCUCCAUGAAAUUCCUCCCUCUUUUUUCCUUUGACUCCACGCCGGCGAGCAAGCCACUCUGGUUAGCCAGCACCACCCAUUGAACCUUCCCCUUAGUCUAUCCCCCACGAUCCAUGGUCACAGACGGCGGGUCUCUGGACCUGGCGAUGUGCUGUGCUGCAAGGGGGCAGGUUCCCUUGCUGGAACCAUCGCCGUGCUGGUAGCUCUACGGCUGCCGUGCUGGAAUCCGGCCACACCCGUGCUGGAAUCGGUGAAGAAAAUUAUUGGAACCGGCUAUUUGAUUUGUUACAACCGAUGAUUCAAGACGUUGCAUCCAUAGUGGUGGAGGUAUUUUUUUGCUGGAACUCCCAAGCUGAUUUGCUAGAACCGGCUACUAGAUUUGCUGGAUCCGACAAAGUUUUUUGUUGAGACCGUCAACGACGACGCAUGUGUUUUUGUUGUAACCGGUAUAUGUAUUUCCUGCCAUCAGUGAUUUGAUUCGCUGCAACCGUUCCAUUUUUUUUGCUACAUUCAUUCAGAGCCGAGCUGCAUCCUGCGACGGCGGCAACCUUUUUUGCUGCAACCGUUGUAGUUUUUGCUACCUCCGUCGAGGAUUUUUGGUACAUCAUUUUUUCAUGGUGGAGCUGCAGUCUCGACGAUGGGGACCAUGAUUUUGUGUUGCAACCAUCGUUGCUUUUUCCUACGACCUAUGAAUUUUUUGCUACAUACGUUCAUUUUUUCUUUUUUUGAGAUGGUGUGCUACAUCUGACGACAGAAGAGGGCGAGCGCGGGAGAC